AGACGGAGGGUGCAAGCGUUAAUCGGAAUUACUGGGCGUAAAGCGCUCGUAGGCGGCUUGUUAAGUCGGAUGUGAAAGCCCCGGGCUCAACCUGGGAACUGCGUUCGAUACUGGCAGGCUAGAGUAUAGUAGAGGCAAGUGGAAUUCCGGGUGUAGCGGUGAAAUGCGUAGAUAUCCGGAGGAACAUCAGUGGCGAAGGCGACUUGCUGGACUAAUACUGACGCUGAGGAGCGAAAGCGUGGGGAGCAAACGGGAUUAGAUACCCCGGUAGUCC
Molecule: ribosomal RNA, 274 nt
Filed under: uncultured bacterium
Lineage: Bacteria
Description: partial 16S ribosomal RNA
Rfam family: Bacterial small subunit ribosomal RNA
Source: RNAcentral